CCUACGGGAGGCAGCAGUGAGGAAUAUUGGUCAAUGGACGCAAGUCUGAACCAGCCAUGCCGCGUGCAGGAAGACGGCUCUAUGAGUUGUAAACUGCUUUUGUACGAGGGUAAACGCAGAUACGCGUAUCUGUCUGAAAGUAUCGUACGAAUAAGGAUCGGCUAACUCCGUGCCAGCAGCCGCGGUAAUACGGAGGAUUCAAGCGUUAUCCGGAUUUAUUGGGUUUAAAGGGUGCGUAGGCGGUCGGAUAAGUUAGGGGUGAAAUCCCGAGGCUCAACUUCGGAAUUGCCUCUGAUACUGUUCGGCGAGAGAGUAGUUGCGGUAGGCGGAAUGUAUGGUGUAGCGGUGAAAUGCUUAGAGAUCAUACAGAACACCGAUUGCGAAGGCAGCUUACCAAGCUACUUCUGACGUUGAGGCACGAAAGCGUGGGGAGCAAACAGGAUUAGAUACCCCAGUAGUC
RNAcentral lists this ribosomal RNA (460 nucleotides) under uncultured bacterium. RNAcentral describes it as "partial 16S ribosomal RNA". It matches the Rfam family "Bacterial small subunit ribosomal RNA", at positions 338 to 795 of the family's 1533-position model. The record is from RNAcentral.